UACGUAGGGUCCGAGCGUUGUCCGGAAUUAUUGGGCGUAAAGGGCUCGUAGGCGGUUCGUCACGUCGGGAGUGAAAACUCGGGGCUUAACCCCGAGCCUGCUUCCGAUACGGGCAGACUAGAGGUAGGCAGGGGAGAGCGGAACUCCUGGUGUAGCGGUGGAAUGCGCAGAUAUCAGGAAGAACACCAACGGCGAAGGCAGCUCGCUGGGACGGAACUGACGCUAAGGCGCGAAAGCGUGGGGAGCGAACAGG
Molecule: ribosomal RNA, 253 nt
Filed under: uncultured bacterium
Lineage: Bacteria
Description: partial 16S ribosomal RNA
Rfam family: Bacterial small subunit ribosomal RNA
Source: RNAcentral